UACAGAGGCUGCAAGCGUUAUUCGGAUUCACUGGGCGUAAAGGGUGCGCAGGUGGCCAAGUGUGUUAGGCGUGAAAGCCCGGGGCUUAACCCCGGAAUUGCACCUGAAACUACUUGGCUAGAGCAUUGGAGAGGGGAGCAGAAUUCAUGGUGUAGCAGUGAAAUGCGUAGAUAUCAUGAGGAAUACCAGAGGCGAAGGCGGCUCCCUGGACAAUUGCUGACACUCAGGCACGAAAGCGUGGGGAGCAAAAGGG
This 253-nucleotide ribosomal RNA is filed under the name uncultured bacterium. Its description in RNAcentral is "partial 16S ribosomal RNA". It matches the Rfam family "Bacterial small subunit ribosomal RNA", at positions 524 to 776 of the family's 1533-position model. The record is from RNAcentral.